UCCGAGGUAGCUCAAUGGUAGAGCAGACGGCUGUUACCCGUCAGGUUGUAGGAUCGUGCCCUACCCUCGGAGCCA
RNAcentral lists this transfer RNA (75 nucleotides) under Idiomarinaceae bacterium. RNAcentral's name for it is "tRNA-Asn". It matches the Rfam family "tRNA". Rfam says of the family: Transfer RNA (tRNA) molecules are approximately 80 nucleotides in length. The record is from RNAcentral. Lineage: Bacteria; Pseudomonadati; Pseudomonadota; Gammaproteobacteria; Alteromonadales; Idiomarinaceae.